GAGAGACUGCCGAGGAUAACUCGGAGGAAGGUGGGGAUGACGUCAAAUCAUCAUGCCCCUUAUGUUUAGGGCUACACACGUGCUACAAUGGCUAGUACAGAGGGUUGCGAAACCGCGAGGUCAAGCUAAUCCCUUAAAGCUAGUCUCAGUUCGGAUUGCAGGCUGAAACUCGCCUGCAUGAAGCUGGAGUUACUAGUAAUCGCGAAUCAGAAUGUCGCGGUGAAUGCGUUCCCGGGUCUUGUACACACCGCCCGUCACACCACGGAAGUUGGGGGCGCCCGAAGUCAGAUAUCCAACCGUAAGGAGGAAUCU
RNAcentral lists this ribosomal RNA (312 nucleotides) under Tepidibacter sp. RNAcentral describes it as "bacterial SSU rRNA". It matches the Rfam family "Bacterial small subunit ribosomal RNA", at positions 1143 to 1454 of the family's 1533-position model. Lineage: Bacteria; Bacillati; Bacillota; Clostridia; Peptostreptococcales; Peptostreptococcaceae. The record is from RNAcentral.